RNAcentral lists this ribosomal RNA (428 nucleotides) under Enterococcus faecalis. RNAcentral describes it as "bacterial SSU rRNA". It matches the Rfam family "Bacterial small subunit ribosomal RNA", at positions 28 to 433 of the family's 1533-position model. Lineage: Bacteria; Bacillati; Bacillota; Bacilli; Lactobacillales; Enterococcaceae. The record is from RNAcentral.
GACGAACGCUGGCGGCGUGCCUAAUACAUGCAAGUCGAACGCUUCUUUCCUCCCGAGUGCUUGCGCUCAAUUGGAAAGAGGAGUGGCGGACGGGUGAGUAACACGUGGGUAACCUACCCAUCAGAGGGGGAUAACACUUGGAAACAGGUGCUAAUACCGCAUAACAGUUUAUGCCGCAUGGCAUAAGAGUGAAAGGCGCUUUCGGGUGUCGCUGAUGGAUGGACCCGCGGUGCAUUAGCUAGUUGGUGAGGUAACGGCUCACCAAGGCCACGAUGCAUAGCCGACCUGAGAGGGUGAUCGGCCACACUGGGACUGAGACACGGCCCAGACUCCUACGGGAGGCAGCAGUAGGGAAUCUUCGGCAAUGGACGAAAGUCUGACCGAGCAACGCCGCGUGAGUGAAGAAGGUUUUCGGAUCGUAAAAACUC